Non-coding RNA from Hordeum vulgare subsp. vulgare (domesticated barley), 74 nucleotides. The record is from Rfam. NCBI's taxonomy places the organism in Eukaryota, Viridiplantae, Streptophyta, Magnoliopsida, Poales, Poaceae.
AGCGGGGUAGAGGAAUUGGUUGACUCAUCAGGCUCAUAACCUGAAGACAGCAAGUUCGAAUCCUGCCCCGGCCU